Molecule: ribosomal RNA, 321 nt
Filed under: uncultured fungus
Lineage: Eukaryota; Fungi
Description: eukaryotic LSU rRNA
Source: RNAcentral
AACGCACCUUGCGCUCCUUGGUAUUCCGAGGAGCAUGCCCGUUUGAGUGUCUCGAUAUCAUCAGGCGCCCGUGCCCUUGCGGCCGGUGCGACUGGACUUGGACGUGCUGCCGGGCCUUUGCCGCCCGGCUCGUCUUAAAUGCAUUAGCGAGAGACGCUAGCCUCUGCCGGCUCUCAUUGGCGUGAUAAGGUCACACCCGUCGAGAGUCCCCGGUCACGAGCUUGCGACCCUUCCGCUUCCAACCGUCCCCCCCGGGACAACAGCGGACCUUUGCGUCUGACAUCUGACCUCAAAUCGGGUAGGACUACCCGCUGAACUUAA